GAUGAACGCUGGCGGCGUGCCUAAUACAUGCAAGUAGAACGCUGAAGGAGGAGCUUGCUCUUCUGGAUGAGUUGCGAACGGGUGAGUAACGCGUAGGUAACCUGCCUGGUAGCGGGGGAUAACUAUUGGAAACGAUAGCUAAUACCGCAUGACAACAGUUAUUGCAUGAUAACUGUUUAAAAGGGGCAACUGCUCCACUACCAGAUGGACCUGCGUUGUAUUAGCUAGUUGGUGAGGUAACGGCUCACCAAGGCGACGAUACAUAGCCGACCUGAGAGGGUGAUCGGCCACACUGGGACUGAGACACGGCCCAGACUCCUACGGGAGGCAGCAGUAGGGAAUCUUCGGCAAUGGACGGAAGUCUGACCGAGCAACGCCGCGUGAGUCAAGAAGGUUUUCGGAUCGUAAAGCUCUGUUGUAAGAGAAGAACGAGUGUGAGAGUGGAAAGUUCACACUGUGACGGUAUCUUACCAGAAAGGGACGGCUAACUACGUG
RNAcentral lists this ribosomal RNA (495 nucleotides) under uncultured bacterium. RNAcentral's name for it is "partial 16S ribosomal RNA". It matches the Rfam family "Bacterial small subunit ribosomal RNA", at positions 28 to 507 of the family's 1533-position model. The record is from RNAcentral.